GGAAUUUUGGACAAUGGGGGCAACCCUGAUCCAGCCAUGCCGCGUGCGGGAAGAAGGCCUUCGGGUUGUAAACCGCUUUUAGCCGGGAAGAAAAGGCAGCACCUAAUACGGGCUGUUCUUGACGGUACCGGCGGAAUAAGCGCCGGCUAACUACGUGCCAGCAGCCGCGGUAAUACGUAGGGUGCGAGCGUUAAUCGGAAUUGCUGGGCGUAAAGCGUGCGCAGGCGGUUCGUUAAGUUCGUCGUGAAAGCCCCGGGCUCAACCUGGGAACGGCGAUGGAAACUGGCGAGCUGGAGUGCGGCAGAGGGGGGUGGAAUUCCGCGUGUAGCAGUGAAAUGCGUAGAGAUGCGGAGGAACACCGAUGGCGAAGGCAGCCCCCUGGGCCGACACUGACGCUCAGGCACGAAAGCGUGGGGAGCAA
This 421-nucleotide ribosomal RNA is filed under the name uncultured bacterium. RNAcentral's name for it is "bacterial SSU rRNA". It matches the Rfam family "Bacterial small subunit ribosomal RNA", at positions 358 to 771 of the family's 1533-position model. The record is from RNAcentral.